AGGCCAAUGGUACACCAAUUUUGUUUUCGCUUCGGUUGCUAAAAGGAUUCAUCAUCAACCUUUUACAACCAUCAAGUACCUCUUCCAAAAGAGGUAUGGAUAUUAAUCAUUCAUGAGGACUUCUGUAUAAGCCAAGGUAUUUUGCAAAGUCAACACAGAAGCACAUUUCCUAUCAGAUAAUCUAAGAAGAAAAGGCAGCUAACAUCCAGUAAAGGCCUAGAUAGCAGGAUUAGGAGCCCUUCUCGCAAAAUAUAGGCAACAACUUUAACAAAAAUCUGAGAAGAGAAUGCACAAGGUAACUGACUUUUUUUGGAUAGGUAGGUAACUAAAAGGAGACAUCACAAACAUAUGAAGCUAACUGCACGGUCCAAAUAAUAGCAUGCGGCUACAGUGACCGGACAUGCUUAAUCAAG
This 413-nucleotide long non-coding RNA is filed under the name Nicotiana benthamiana. RNAcentral describes it as "long non-coding RNA (NBEN_LNC002284)". Lineage: Eukaryota; Viridiplantae; Streptophyta; Magnoliopsida; Solanales; Solanaceae. The record is from RNAcentral.